AUCGUCACAGCUUAUAACAGCGGCCUACAUAGAGUGAGCUGAGGACACAGUGGGUGUUAGAGCAACAGGAACAGCUGCUUCCUGACGCUAGAGUACUGAAAGAGUCAUGAGAGCAUUUGAUAAUGGGGGCCGAAGAGACACAGUCUUUCUGUUUGUAUGAUGGUGAUGGCCUUCUGCACAGGACUGUACAGUAUAUCAUGCUUUUUCUAGUCUUUUUGACCACUCAGUGCUUUUACCCUUCAUGUCACAUUCACAAAUUCACACACUGAUGACAGGGGCUACCACACAGGGGCCAACCGGCCUAUCAGGAAGGAGACACACACUGUUGGCACAGCUGUGGUUAAAAAUCUUGCCCAAGGACACAUGGACAUGUGGACUGGAGAACCGCGAAUCGAAUCACCGAUCUUCUGAUUGAUGAACGGCAGCUCUGCCUCCUGAACCACAGCUGCCUAAACUCUGCUACAUCUUUGUCUUAUGAAUCAUCUUCACCCAUCGCCAUACUAAGAGAAUUCCUGACAGAAACUCAUAAAAUGUACUGAAUAAAGUGAGCCAAUGCAGGGUGUUGGCAUCGGGCACAAUUCCUGGCACAACAGAGGAGUCGGAAAGCCACAAAGUUCAAAAUGCUUCCUGAAGAUAAGCAGUUGUCCAAGUCUUUCCAGUUCAAGUUGGACAGUUCCAAGGUGGAUCGGCAAAGAAACCGUACACACUAUCCAGAGUUCUCCACAAAUAGUAAGAACUGACCUGUUAAGCUACCGUGGAAACUAUAAAAACUGUAAUUGUUACCGUGCUGCAGACACACUUCACUGCACUUACCAAAAUGACACCUUGACCAUGUCUAGCUUUUACAUGCAGCUGUGAAUCAGCAUUCUCAACAGUGAGCAUUAUUAAAGGUCAAUACAGUUCAAAACCGACCAAUCAUAACUUACACGCAUGUCUGCCACUGUCUUCAUUCCCAGCCAUCAAAUGACAGAGUUAAAUAUUUAUGUUUUCAUCCAUAAGUCAUUAAGCUUUCUUUUGUUUGAGAAUAUGUGCUGGUCAGAUCUGGUCAGAAGACCAUACGGUUUAUUUAUUAUAAGCAUUUUUUUUAAUGCAAUAUUGAUGCAUUUCAUAUCUAACAAUA
Long non-coding RNA from Scomber scombrus (Atlantic mackerel), 1120 nucleotides. RefSeq lists it as uncharacterized. The transcript has 4 exons. Lineage: Eukaryota; Metazoa; Chordata; Actinopteri; Scombriformes; Scombridae. The record is from RefSeq and is a predicted model, not a curated record.